This 253-nucleotide ribosomal RNA is filed under the name uncultured bacterium. RNAcentral's name for it is "partial 16S ribosomal RNA". It matches the Rfam family "Bacterial small subunit ribosomal RNA", at positions 524 to 776 of the family's 1533-position model. The record is from RNAcentral.
UACGGAGGGGGCUAGCGUUGUUCGGAAUCAUUGGGCGUAAAGGGCGCGUAGGCGGCCGACCAAGUCGGAUGUGAAAUCCCUCGGCUCAACCGAGGAACUGCACUCGAUACUGGUUGGCUAGAGUCCGGGAGGGGAUGGUGGAAUUCCCAGUGUAGCGGUGAAAUGCGUAGAUAUUGGGAAGAACACCGGUGGCGAAGGCGGCCAUCUGGACCGGUACUGACGCUGAGGCGCGAAAGCCAGGGGAGCGAAUGGG